GGCCAGCGCGUGCAGCUUGCAUGCCUGCAGGUCGACGAUUUUCUGGUUGAUCCCGCCAGAGGUCACCGCUAUUAGGAUACGAUUAAGCCAUGCGAGUCAAAGAGCAAUCUUGGCGCACCGCUCAGUAACACGUGGACAAUCUACCCUUCGGUGGGGGAUAAUCUUGGGAAACUGAGAAUAAUACCCCAUAGGUCUAGGAUGCUGGAAUGCUUCUAGACUGAAAGUUCCGACGCCGAAGGAUGAGUCUGCGGCCUAUCAGGUUGUAGCAAGUGUAACGCACUUGUUAGCCUACAACGGGUACGGGCCAUGAGAGUGGUUGCCCGGAGAUGGACUCUGAGACAUGAGUCCAGGCCCUACGGGGCGCAGCAGGCGCGAAAACUUCGCAAUGUGCGCAAGCACGACGAGGGAAUCCUAAGUGCCUAUGCUUUGCAUAGGCUGUUCUCCUGUCUAAAAAACAGGGGGAGUAAGGGCUGGGUAAGACGGGUGCCAGCCGCCGCGGUAAUACCCGCAGCCCAAGUGGUGAUCGUUAUUAUUGGGUUUAAAAUGUCCGUAGCUGGUCUAGUAAAUUCCUGGGUAAAUCGAAUUGCUUAACAAUUCGAAUUCCGGGUAGACUGCUAGACUUGGGACCGGAAGAGGUCAGAAGUACUUCUGGGGUAGGGGUAAAAUCCUGUAAUCCUGGAGGGACUAUCAGUGGCGAAGGCGUCUGACUAGAACGGAUCCGACAGUAAGGGACGAAGCCCUGGGGCGCAAACGGGAUUAGAUACCCCGGUAGUCCAGGGUGUAAACGCUGUAGGCUUGGUGUUGGGGGUCCUAUGAGGACAUCCAGUGCCGGAGAGAAAUUGUUAAGCCUACUACCUGGGGAGUACGGUCGCAAGACUGAAACUUAAAGGAAUUGGCGGGGGAGCACCGCAACGGGUGGAGCGUGCGGGUUAAAUGG
Molecule: ribosomal RNA, 937 nt
Filed under: uncultured archaeon
Lineage: Archaea
Description: bacterial SSU rRNA
Rfam family: Archaeal small subunit ribosomal RNA
Source: RNAcentral